This 447-nucleotide ribosomal RNA is filed under the name uncultured bacterium. RNAcentral's name for it is "bacterial SSU rRNA". It matches the Rfam family "Bacterial small subunit ribosomal RNA", at positions 355 to 825 of the family's 1533-position model. The record is from RNAcentral.
UGGGGAAUCUUGGACAAUGGGCGCAAGCCUGAUCCAGCCAUGCCGCGUGGAUGAUGAAGGCCUUAGGGUUGUAAAAUCCUUUCGUUGGGGACGAUAAUGACGGUACCCAAAGAAGAAGCUCCGGCUAACUUCGUGCCAGCAGCCGCGGUAAUACAGAGGGUGCGAGCGUUAAUCGGAAUUACUGGGCGUAAAGCGCACGUAGGUGGCGACGUAAGUCGGGUGUGAAAUCCCCGGGCUCAACCUGGGAACCGCAUUCGAGACUGUGUUGCUGGAGUACGGAAGAGGAGGGCGGAAUUCCCGGUGUAGCAGUGAAAUGCGUAGAUAUCGUAAGGAAGACCAGUGGCGAAGGCGAGUCUCUGGACAGUUACUGACGCUGAGGCACGAAGGCCAGGGGAGCAAACGGGAUUAGAUACCCCCGUAGUCCCUGAGCGGGCUGGCAAGGCGCAU